UGGGCCUACGGGGGGCAGCAGUGAGGAAUAUUGGUCAAUGGGCGCGAGCCUGAACCAGCCAAGUCGCGUGAAGGAUGACUGCCCUACGGGUUGUAAACUUCUUUUAUAAAGGAAUAAAGUGAGGCACGUGUGCCUUUUUGUAUGUACUUUAUGAAUAAGGAUCGGCUAACUCCGUGCCAGCAGACGCGGUAAUACGGAGGAUCGGCGCGUUAUCCGGAUUUAUUGGGUUUAAAGGGAGCGUAGAUGGGUUGUUAAGUCAGUUGUGAAAGUUUGUGGCUCAACAGUAAAAUUGCAAGUGGUACUGG
This 305-nucleotide ribosomal RNA is filed under the name uncultured bacterium. Its description in RNAcentral is "bacterial SSU rRNA". It matches the Rfam family "Bacterial small subunit ribosomal RNA", at positions 334 to 636 of the family's 1533-position model. The record is from RNAcentral.